This 1456-nucleotide ribosomal RNA is filed under the name uncultured Bordetella sp. RNAcentral describes it as "partial 16S-23S ribosomal RNA intergenic spacer". It matches the Rfam family "Bacterial small subunit ribosomal RNA". Lineage: Bacteria; Pseudomonadati; Pseudomonadota; Betaproteobacteria; Burkholderiales; Alcaligenaceae. The record is from RNAcentral.
GUUCCGAUCAUGGCUCCAGAUUGAACGCUGGCGGGAUGCUUUACACGCUCAAGUCGAACGGCAGCACAGACUUCGGUCUGGUGGCGAGUGGCAGACGGGUGAGUAAUGUAUCCGGAACUUGAUGCCUAGUAGCGGGGGAUAACUACGCGGCGUAGCUAAUACCGCAUACGCCCUUCGGGGGAAAGCGGGGGACCUUCGGGCCUCGCACUAUUAGAGCGGCCGAUAUCGGAUUAGCUAGUUGGUGGGGUAACGGCUCACCAAGGCGACGAUCCGUAGCUGGUUUUGAGAGGACGACCAACCACACUGGGACUGAGACUGGCCCAGACUCCUACGGGAGGCAGCAGUGGGGAGGUACCUGGACAAUGAAACCUGAUCCAGCCAUCCCGCGUGUGCGAUGAAGGCCUUCGGGUUGUAAAGCACUUUUGGCAGGAAAGAAACGGCACGGGAUAAUACCCCGUGCAACUGACAGUACCUGCAGAAUAAGCACCGGCUAACUACGUGCCAGCAGCCGCGGUAAUACGUAGAGUGCCAAGCGUUAAUCGGAAUUACUGGGCGUAAAGCGUGCGCAGGCGGUUCGGAAAGAAGAUGUGAAAUCCAGAGCUUAACUUUGGUUUCACGCUACCGAGCUAGAGUGUGUCAGAGGUGGAGAUUCCGCGUGUAGCAGUGAAAUACGUAGAUAUGCGGAGGAACACCGAUGGCGAAGGCUGGCCUCCUGGGAUAACACUGACGCUCAUGCACGAAAGCGUGGGGAGCAAACGGGAUUAGAUACCCUGUUGGUCCACGCCCUAAACGAUGUCAGCUAGCUGUUGGGGCCUUCGGGCCUUGGUAGCGCAACUAACGCGUGAAGUUGACCGCCUGAAGGUACGGUCAUAAGAUUAAAACUCAAAAGGAAUUGACGGGGACCCGCACAAGCGGUGGAUGAUGUGGAUUAAUUCGAUGCAACGCGAAAAACCUUACCUACCCUUGACAUGUCUGGAAUCCCGAAGAGAUUUGGGAGUGCUAAAGAGAACCGGAACACAGGUGCUGCAUGGCUGUCGAUCAGCUCGUAGUGAGAUGUUGGGUUAGAGUCACAACGAGAGCAGCCCUUGUCGUGGAUUGCUACGAAAGGCACUCUAUUGGGGCUGCCCGACAAACCGGAGGGAAGGUGAAAGUCAGUCAGCGGCCCUUAUGGAGCGAAGACCACACGUCAUACAAUGGUCGGGACAGAGGUCGCCAACCCGCGAGGAGGAACCAAUCCCAGAAACCCGAUCGUAGUCCGGAUCGCAGUCUGGCUCGAGCUUUGCCGUGAGUCGAAGAUCGCUGAUAAUCGCGGAUCAACGUGUCGCGGUGAAUACGUUCCCGGGUCUUAUACACCGCCGUCACCAUGGGAGUGGGUUUUACCAAGUAGUUAGCCCUAACCGUAAGGAGGGCGAUUUUGAUGGGGAUUCAUGACUGGGGUGAAGUCGUAACAAGGUAG